GGAAUAUUGCACAAUGGAGGAAACUCUGAUGCAGCGAUGCCGCGUGAGUGAAGAAGGCCUUUGGGUUGUAAAGCUCUUUCGUCGGGGAAGAAAAUGACUGUACCCGAAUAAGAAGGUCCGGCUAACUUCGUGCCAGCAGCCGCGGUAAUACGAAGGGACCUAGCGUAGUUCGGAAUUACUGGGCUUAAAGAGUUCGUAGGUGGUUAAAAAAGUUGGUUGUGAAAUCCCGGAGCUUAACUCCGGAACUGCAAUCAAAACUUUUUAGCUAGAGUAUGAUAGAGGAAAGCAGAAUUUCUAGUGUAGAGGUGAAAUUCGUAGAUAUUAGAAAGAAUACCAAUUGCGAAGGCAGCUUUCUGGAUCAUUACUGACACUGAGGAACGAAAGCAUGGGUAGCGAAGAGGAUUAGAUACCCUCGUAGUCCAUGCCGUAAACGAUGUGUGUUAGACGUUGGAAAUUAAUUUUUAGUGUCGCAGCGAAAGCAUUAAACACACCGCCUGGGGAGUACGACCGCAAGGUUAAAACUCAAAUGAAUUGACGGGGACCCGCACAAGUAGUGGAGCAUGUGGUUUAAUUCGAAGAUACGCGCAGAACCUUACCAACACUUGACAUGUUCGUCGCGACUCUAAGAGAUUAGAGUUUUCGGUUCGGCCGGACGAAACACAGGUGCUGCAUGGCUGUCGUCAGCUCGUGUCGUGAGAUGUUGGGUUAAGUCCCGCAACGAGCGCAACCCUCACUUUUAGUUGCCAUCAUUUAGUUGGGCACUCUGAAAGAACUGCCAGUGAUAAGCUGGAGGAAGGUGGGGAUGACGUCAAGUCC
Molecule: ribosomal RNA, 816 nt
Filed under: marine metagenome
Description: bacterial SSU rRNA
Rfam family: Bacterial small subunit ribosomal RNA
Source: RNAcentral